UACGUAGGUGGCGAGCGUUGUCCGGAUUUACUGGGCGUAAAGCGCGCGUAGGCGGCCAGAUAAGUCCGGUGUGAAAGUCAAAGGCUCAACCUUUGAAUGCCGCUGGAAACUGUCUGGCUAGAGUCCGGAAGGGGCGAGUGGAACUCCUGGUGUAGCGGUGAAAUGCGCAGAUAUCAGGAAGAACACCAAUGGCGAAGGCAGCUCGCUAGGACGGUACUGACGCUGAGGCGCGAAAGCGUGGGGAGCAAACAGG
This 253-nucleotide ribosomal RNA is filed under the name uncultured bacterium. Its description in RNAcentral is "partial 16S ribosomal RNA". It matches the Rfam family "Bacterial small subunit ribosomal RNA", at positions 524 to 776 of the family's 1533-position model. The record is from RNAcentral.